UGGGGAAUUUUGGUCAAUGGGGGAAACCCUGAUCCAGCCAUCCCGCGUGUGCGAUGAAGGCCUUCGGGUUGUAAAGCACUUUUGGCAGGAAAGAAACGUCAUGGGUUAAUACCCCGUGAAACUGACGGUACCUGCAGAAUAAGCACCGGCUAACUACGUGCCAGCAGCCGCGGUAAUACGUAGGGUGCAAGCGUUAAUCGGAAUUACUGGGCGUAAAGCGUGCGCAGGCGGUUCGGAAAGAAAGAUGUGAAAUCCCAGAGCUCAACUUUGGAACUGCAUUUUUAACUACCGGGCUAGAGUGUGUCAGAGGGAGGUGGAAUUCCGCGUGUAGCAGUGAAAUGCGUAGAUAUGCGGAGGAACACCGAUGGCGACGGCAGCCUCCUGGGAUAACACUGACGCUCAUGCACGAAAGCGUGGGGAGCAAACAGG
RNAcentral lists this ribosomal RNA (429 nucleotides) under Acidobacteriota bacterium. RNAcentral's name for it is "Acidobacteria bacterium partial 16S ribosomal RNA". It matches the Rfam family "Bacterial small subunit ribosomal RNA", at positions 355 to 776 of the family's 1533-position model. The record is from RNAcentral. Lineage: Bacteria; Pseudomonadati; Acidobacteriota.